UACGUGAAACCGUUUAGGGGUAAACCUGAGAAACCCGARAGUUCGAACGAGGAGAUUCAGUGUGUUUCGGCGAAUGCGAGUGCCGUUUGGUAGACAAUUGUCGUUCGCGUCAGUUGCUCCUUACGUGCGCCGUUGUUUGUCGAACGCGUGCACUUCUCCUCCAGUAGGACGUCGCGACCCGUUGGGUGUCGGUCUGAGGCUCGCAGUGGAGCCCGUUCGUCGGUUUCGGCCGUCGUUCGGACCUGUGAUGUCCCGUCCGGCUGCUUGACGGUAGAAUAAAGGCGCAGGGCCGCGACUUGCUCGCGUUCGGCCCGAUACAAGCACAGACGGUUACUCGAUCAUCGGACUAGCGCCGAUCUCGGGGCCGGUCGACUGUUGGUGUCGGUGUUCCCGAACAGACUCUGUUCACGCCUGUCAGCGGCGCUAUAGCUUUGGGUACUUUCAGGGCCCGUCUUGAAACACGGACCAAGGAGUCUAGCAUGUGCGCGAGUCAUUGGGACUCGAGAAUCCUAAAGGCGAAAUGAAAGUAAAGGUAGAGCUUGCUCGACCAAGGGAAGACGGGUGGCCUAGGCCGCCUUGCACUCCCGGGGCGUCUCAUUCUCAUUGCGAGAAGAGGCGCACCUAGAGCGUACAUGCUGGGACCCGAAAGAUGGUGAACUAUGCCUGGUCAGGACGAAGUCAGGGGAAACCCUGAUGGAGGUCCGUAGCGAUUCUGACGUGCAAAUCGAUCGUCGGAACUGGGUAUAGGGGCGAAAGACUAAUCGAACCAUC
RNAcentral lists this ribosomal RNA (771 nucleotides) under Coleoptera sp. NZAC 03014203. RNAcentral describes it as "eukaryotic LSU rRNA". It matches the Rfam family "Eukaryotic large subunit ribosomal RNA", at positions 396 to 944 of the family's 3401-position model. Lineage: Eukaryota; Metazoa; Arthropoda; Insecta; Coleoptera. The record is from RNAcentral.